Molecule: unclassified non-coding RNA, 2951 nt
Filed under: Hevea brasiliensis (rubber tree)
Lineage: Eukaryota; Viridiplantae; Streptophyta; Magnoliopsida; Malpighiales; Euphorbiaceae
Source: RNAcentral
GUCUCGUGACUGAAAGAAAUUUCUUCUCAUGUUAUUAGAAUUUUUUUUUCUUUCCUUCAAUUUUCUCAUAAACAUUAGUUUUCUUUUAAUAAAAUUAUUAUUGAUAGGUUUUUCCAAUUUCUCUGAAAGCCAGAAGCAGAUUUUUGUCAGUUUCUACCAUAUUUUUUUUCAAGUUGUGGAUUAAGAUUCAUGAUUAUCCUUAAUCCUUAAUUUUUGAAAUUAUUCUUAAUAAAAAAAAUUUUGAAAUUAUGAUUAUUUAUAAAUUAAAAUAAAAAGGGGAAAAAACCUACAGUUGAGCGGUUUACGUUGAUCGCCAGGCUCCUAAGAUUUUUCUGUCUUUCUCGGCAUUCUCUACAUCUCGCUUUUGUUAAAAGAUAAAAUCUUUAGUGUUUGGUUUGAUCCUUCGUUUUAAUUUUUAAUGUGAAGCUAUGGAGAAAAAUUUGCGCAGAAACAUCAAUAGAAGUCUCGCUGAUUGCAGAGAAUUGGAAGCCGCUUCUUGGUAGAAUCAUUUUUCAGUACAUACACGGGUUAGCUGCUCAUGGAAUUCAUUACUUACAUAGGCCAGGGCCAACGCUUCAGGACACUGGCUUUUUCUUCUUCCAGAACUUGGACAAGAUAAAGCUUAUAUAAGUGAGACUCUUUUCACUUUCAUCUUUUGUUCUUUUGUGUUGGUAAGGUUUUACAGUCCUGUUAUUUAUGUUUACAUGUGUUGCCCACUAUCUAGGCACAUUUUUCAAUGUUCUCUUUUACAGUUAACAGAUAAUUGCACUGUUUUCUACCUAGAUCACCUAUGGUACUGAUGUUUUCAGUAAUGUCAAUGUUCCCAUUCAGUUUUUCUUUUUGUCUUGCUAAUUUCAUCCUACCCAGAAUUUCACUUAGUUGUUUCCCUUUACCUAUCUCGUCUGCCGGUGAACUGAAGUAUUUCAUGCAUAAUAUAGUCUCUCUUUCUUUGAUUAUUUAAGGAAGAUAUAUUCAAGACUGACAUAUAAGUUUGCAUAAGUUUGUCUAAUAAUAAAAAAAUGAAGUUUGUGAAUUUCAAUAGGUCCUUGCCAGUUGCUUUUGUGAACGUCUAUGUGCAUCCAUUUCUCCAAGAUUGGAUCAACAAGCAUUCAAGGAGCAAGAUCAUGCUUUAUUUCUAAAAUGAGUUGUUAGAAAUAAGUAUUGAUGAUCUUGACUGUCAAGUAAAACUACUAAGUUGGAGAAUAUGGAGAUCUUUCACAUAGGUUUUCUGUAGACGCCAAAGAACAUGAAAUACAUUCAAGCUUCUUCUUGUCUCUGACUAAAUUGUUCCUCAUCUUAUUAAGUAGUUUAAUUAUUAAUGACCAGCUAGUAAUCUAUGAAUUGUUGAUUGGACUAACUAGUCUUAGUCCUGUUGCAGUGGACUUUUCACCCUUUCAUUUUUCAGUACAAAAAAAUCUACACAGCUUUAGUCUGGUGCAGGGUUCUUGCUUAUUUAGUGUUUCCUGAGGGGUUAAUUAUGGCUGUGGUGAUUUGAUAUUUUCAUCACACAUGAUUUUCAAUAUAGUGUUCGUUCGCACAUAUUAUAAGUAUGGGCAAGGAGGUGAAUGCACUUGUCCUUUCUUUUGUGUUUGUGUGCUUGCGCAUAUGUUUCUUAAUUUGAAGGAGUGGUGGAGUGGAGCCAAAGUAACUAUAUGCAUCAUAGUUGUGGUCUGUGCAUUCUACUAGGUGUAAGGACUGAUUCCAAACUUUGUUGUCACUACUUUGGCUUACCCUACAGGUGCAUAAAACAGUUUGCUUGGUUACUUGCUGUGAUUCAGAGCCUUCUUAGUUUAGCAUCUCGCAAACAUUACACGGUUGAUGUUGUUGUUGCAUGGUACACUGUAAAUUUGGUAGCAUUUUUUAUUGACAAGAAAAUGCCAGAAUUGCCUGAUCGAUCCACUGGACUCACAUCCCUGCCGCUACUACCUGUGAGUAGAGAAAAGGAUAGCAAGAGCCUGGAAGAGCACCAAGUGGGGUUUCUGUUUAGAAUGUUGGUAUGGAUUAUUAGUAAAAGCUUCCAGUCAUCAUACUGGUUUUCACCUUCACUUGCUUCACUUGUGACACUUGGAUUACAAGGUUAAGAACAUAGCCAGUGGUGAAUUGUGCAUAAACAUCAGCAAUGCUGAAGAUAGCUCUACUGGUGUUACCCUUUGGUUAUGUGCCUGAGUUUCUUUCUGAACUAAUGCAUUUUCAGCUCAGUUAGUGGGGUUGACAUACUUCAUUUUAAUUGUUAUUUAAAUGGAAUGAAAUGUUUUUUAUAUUUCUCACAUGCAAGAUACAGUACUACUUCUUUUAGGUUUUAUUGUUUCUUUGGACCGUGGAAUUGAUAUUGGUAUGUACAGUUUCCUAUAUACUGGGAGAACAUGUUACAUCAGGAAGAAAUAGCAUUGGUCUGGGACAGCUUGUCAUGUUUGAAAUUUGAAGAAAACUGCUAGAAGUUUUGGUCCACAAAAUUUGAGAUGGAGGUGCAGACGAAGCGACAAAGAAUAAGAGGGAACAUGAUUAUGUUGAUGGUUUCACAAUGAGAAUAGCAUGACCUUAAAUUUUUUUGGAUUGGAUGCAUCUUAUAGUCAAUAAUACUAUCCUGUGUCCCACAAUAAUACUAUCAUCCUCUACCCCUUGGAAGCUGAAAUGUAAUUUAACAUUGGAGAAAGCACUUGUUACAUCACAUGCACGCCUGCGCUUUCUCUCCCCAUCAGAGGCACUGCACACUUUCCCUUUUGAGCUCUUAUCUUUAGUACCAACAUGAUUUCUCUUAUUUCCUGCUUUACCAAUGUCAAAUUUAUUGAAAAGGAAAGGGAUCACUGUAUCUACCUGCUCCUCCAAUCUAGGCCAUUGAAAAUCGUGUAUCAGCUAGCUGCACCAGCACCAUCCUUGAACAAAUUGCAGGUUCCUUCUUUAGUAAAUCUUCGUUUUUUUACCCUCUUGCUUUUCAGUGUUAUUAUGGCCAG